GCGCUCGCUUCGGCAGCACAUAUACUAAAAUUGGACGAUAUAGAGGAAAUAGCAUGGCCCUGUGCAAGGAUGACACGCAAAUUUGUGAAGCGUUCUGUAUUUAA
Small nuclear RNA from Otolemur garnettii (small-eared galago), 104 nucleotides. The record is from Ensembl. Lineage: Eukaryota; Metazoa; Chordata; Mammalia; Primates; Galagidae.